Molecule: non-coding RNA, 30 nt
Filed under: Rattus norvegicus (Norway rat)
Lineage: Eukaryota; Metazoa; Chordata; Mammalia; Rodentia; Muridae
Source: RNAcentral
UAGACUUCUUCUCAUGUGUUACCCUUCUGC